AAUAGAUAUAAGUUAAUGGUAAACUGAAUGUCUUCCAAACAUUGAAUGUGAGUUCGAUUCUCACUAUCUAUA
This 72-nucleotide transfer RNA is filed under the name Maudiozyma exigua. RNAcentral describes it as "Kazachstania exigua tRNA-Gly". It matches the Rfam family "tRNA". Rfam says of the family: Transfer RNA (tRNA) molecules are approximately 80 nucleotides in length. Their secondary structure includes four short double-helical elements and three loops (D, anti-codon, and T loops). The record is from RNAcentral. Lineage: Eukaryota; Fungi; Ascomycota; Saccharomycetes; Saccharomycetales; Saccharomycetaceae.